CGUGUGUUUCUGUGGUGUAGUGGUUAUCACGUUUGCUUUACACGCAAAAGGUCUCCGGUUCGAUCCCGGGCAGGAACAUCUUUUUUCAGUUGUUGUAGCUUGUUUAUAUAUCUUACUAACUUAUAAAUUUGUUUGUCAUUAGUUGUUAAGCAAGUUUCUGUGGUGUAGUGGUUAUCACGUUUGCUUUACACGCAAAAGGUCUCCGGUUCGAUCCCGGGCAGGAACAUUCUUUUUUCAGUUGUUAUAACUUGUUUAUAUAUCUUACUAACUUAUAUAUUUUUUUGUCAUUAGUUGUUGAGCAAGUUUCUGUGGUGUAGUGGUUAUCACGUUUGCUUUACACGCAAAAGGUCUCCGGUUCGAUCCCGGGCAGGAACAU
This 376-nucleotide transfer RNA is filed under the name Rosa chinensis. RNAcentral describes it as "sRNA RchiOBHm_Chr5g0062461". The stretch from base 6 to 78 matches the Rfam family "tRNA". Lineage: Eukaryota; Viridiplantae; Streptophyta; Magnoliopsida; Rosales; Rosaceae. The record is from RNAcentral.